AAAGUCGUAACAAGGUAACCGUAGGUGAACCUGCGGUUGGAUCAUUAAUAAAUCUAGAAGGUCUUCAAGACCUUUCUAACAUCUUGUGAAUCGUUUAUCGUCUCUGGCAGAUUCUGUCUGCCGAGUAAACCCCUGCAUAAUUUUUGUCUAAAAAAUAAAAUAAAAGUAAUUAAAACAACUUUUGACAACGGAUCUCUAGGCUCUC
RNAcentral lists this unclassified non-coding RNA (205 nucleotides) under Chytridiomycota sp. Its description in RNAcentral is "partial contains small subunit ribosomal RNA, internal transcribed spacer 1, and 5.8S ribosomal RNA". The stretch from base 1 to 47 matches the Rfam family "Eukaryotic small subunit ribosomal RNA", at positions 1785 to 1831 of the family's 1831-position model. The record is from RNAcentral. Lineage: Eukaryota; Fungi; Chytridiomycota.